UCUUUUCAUUGUGUGCCAGCAGCCGCGGUAAUACGGAGGAUGCGAGCGUUAUCCGGAUUUAUUGGGUUUAAAGGGAGCGCAGACGGGUCGUUAAGUCAGCUGUGAAAGUUUGGGGCUCAACCUUAAAAUUGCAGUUGAUACUGGCGUCCUUGAGUGCGGUUGAGGUGUGCGGAAUUCGUGGUGUAGCGGUGAAAUGCUUAGAUAUCACGAAGAACUCCGAUUGCGAAGGCAGCACACUAAGCCGUAACUGACGUUCAUGCUCGAAAGUGUGGGUAUCAAACAGG
RNAcentral lists this ribosomal RNA (284 nucleotides) under Phocaeicola plebeius DSM 17135. RNAcentral describes it as "partial 16S ribosomal RNA". It matches the Rfam family "Bacterial small subunit ribosomal RNA", at positions 493 to 776 of the family's 1533-position model. The record is from RNAcentral. Lineage: Bacteria; Pseudomonadati; Bacteroidota; Bacteroidia; Bacteroidales; Bacteroidaceae.